RNAcentral lists this ribosomal RNA (253 nucleotides) under uncultured bacterium. RNAcentral describes it as "partial 16S ribosomal RNA". It matches the Rfam family "Bacterial small subunit ribosomal RNA", at positions 524 to 776 of the family's 1533-position model. The record is from RNAcentral.
AACGUAGGAGACGAACGUUAUCCGGAGUUACUGGGCGUAAAGGGCGUGCAGGCGGCUUGCUAAGUUCGGCGUGAAAUUUCCCGGCUUAACCGGGGGAUGUCGUCGGAGACUGUCGAGCUAGAGGGUGAUAGAGGCGUGUGGAAUUCCGGGUGUAGUGGUGAAAUGCGUAGAGAUCCGGAGGAACACCAGUGGCGAAGGCGACACGCUGGGUCAUACCUGACGCUAAAACGCGACAGCAUGGGGAGCGAACGGG